Molecule: long non-coding RNA, 3798 nt
Organism: Seriola aureovittata
Lineage: Eukaryota; Metazoa; Chordata; Actinopteri; Carangiformes; Carangidae
Exons: 2
Source: RefSeq, a predicted model, not a curated record
CCCAUCUCCAUUGCUAGUACUACGGGAUGUCUAUAAGAGCAGAUCAUCGGGACAGCCUGCUGAAUUUCAUGAGGUGCCGAGGUGCGAGAGGGAGAUGCGAGAUUGAAAAAUCAAUCAAAAAAAUAAAAAAUAAAAAAUUCGAGCUACUUUUGUCGAAAAUUACGCACCAGUGCUGGCGACGAGUUUGAUCAAGUCGUAAACUGAAGACACCUCAGCUGGACCGGUGAAGACCAAAGAGGUAAGUUUCUCUUUUCAUUGUGCCAUUAUUUUUGUCCUGUAUGAAAUUUUGAAUGCUUACAAAAAGCUGCCUUACUCCUUCACGCGUGGCAAAGAAAUUACAACAGGGACGGGAUUGUUAAAUCAGGGUAAGCUCACUCUUUUCCUGUCACCGAAUUUCCCUCUGCGUGUCAUUUCGUGAAUCUACGGUAGAUUACAGAAGCUGGAAGUUACUGCAGUGUGAGUCACUUUGGCGCACAUGGGCAGUGACAACUGUGAAAAAAGGAGAGAAUGUCUUGUAGGGUGUAGGCUACGCUGACUGCAUGUUAACCAGGCUGCAUCCCCGCAGAUAGUAAGGGAAUCACGACGUUAUAUUUCCAAGGGUGUCGGUCAGUCUAUGUGGGACGGUGUCCAAACGGGCUGCCUCUUGGAAGUGUUCGUGCCUAACACAGCCAAUACUGGUGUCUGUAGUCAGGGUGGUAUGGGACAACAUGUACUCAUGUGUUGCUUGUUGGGGGUUAGGCUGGACCAAAUUAUAAGACACACCAACCCUCAAGAAAUCCAUCAGUGAAACGCUGCAUGUAGCCCCGAUGGAAGGACUUAUUUAAAUAAAGUGAACUAUUAUCCAGGCAGAGAUCCUCUCCCUAGUUCGCCAGCUUUUUCCUUUUUUUUCAUGUUGAAAUGACAUCGUGACGUGUUCUUGAGAUGAAGUCAAUUUUGCGUCAUUCCUGCGCACAUGCAGACGACUUCCAAUCACCCAUCUCUGGGCUUUAAAGACACAGUGCCAGUCGCCUAUAUACGUCCACAGCCUGCAUUGCGAUGUGUCUCUAUACUAGGUGGGGAGAUGAGGGGAGGUGAGGGGGUGGGAAGGCCUGGGGACCUGAUGAAAACUCCCCAAGGUAACUCCUGGAGGGGCCCAUGACCAGAAUUACAAUGAGCACAGUUCAACAACGUCUCCCGCUGUUUUUAGCCUUUAUGUCCGGAUGUGCGGGGCAUAUAUUCACACCGGCUUUAAACGAACUUGACAGAGCACUGGAAACAACACGAGCCUUAAAGAAAUGAACAACAACUGAAACAACCAGCGGCUCCUCGAAGCUGCUUGGUGCUGUCCGCGGUGCUGAACGUGGUCGGUGGGCUGACCUGCUGAAUUUAAACAACACUGUGUUACACAAAGAAGCUGCGAUUUCUGAUACACAUGUACACACAAACUAGGCUUCAUCUGAUUUGUUAUCAUACAAAUAGAGAACCAUUCGAAAUGUCCUCAUAUGGUAGCUAAAUGUAAUAGGUAUUUUAAAUUGUUAUUGGGAGAUAACCUUAGAGAUCCUUCUGUCUGUCCUCUGUGUAAGUUUGUGAUCAGGUCCAUAGUAAAAGUAGCAAUAUUCUAAACUCUCUGACCUCUAGCUAACGUGUGUAUGUCUAUUAGAAAUAGAGAGGCGCAUCUCUAGAGCUAUUUACGGCUCAGGCAGCAGCAGAAACUCGGCCAGCAGUGUUUGUCGGCCAGUGGAUGAUCUUCAGGACCAUGGACAGUGACAUAGUCCAGAUACUCGGUCUGUCACAGGAGAAAUUGGUCCAAUCACACAGUUGUUUUUUUUUUUUUUUUUACAUGUAUUUUUUCCAUAUGGGGUAGAGCUAUACUCAGAUUACUGUUACUAAUGUUAGCACUAAUAUAAGUAAGUUACAGUGACACCACCAGAGACAGACAGGCAAAAAUAUGACACAGGUAAAAGGCCAAGUCAGUCGUAACCUCUGACGCCACUUGGGUGAAAACUUUUGUACUUGUCGACUCACAGCGCUCCUCACCUUUAUAGAUUCCUUCAGAAGACACAUUGGUCACAUGAAAAGACACAAAAUCACCACCAUAAACCACUUGACAUAGCUCGAAACAAACAGUAUAUAAACAUGCGAUUAGUGCUUGUGAGUACUCAAAUUUCCUGACUGCUGACGUCAGUCCUAGAGUUACUCAGUUGAGCUUGCAUAAGCCACCAAACCACCCUGUUCUCCUGUCUGUCCAUAUCCUGUGGCUGACUCAUAGAUAAUCAGCAUGGAAAUCAAUACUACAAACACAACAAGUGGGCUAUGUAACUGCCUGUCUGGCCACCCAUAGCCUAAGGCCUCUGGUGGGAAAGGCUGUGAUGUGUGCUACUGUGAGCACUGUGUCAUAGUAUAUGAUCUGCUUUUGCUAAUGGCUGAGUAGUGUGCCACAGAGAUAUGGCAGGUAACUGUAAAGAGAACUAAAGAGCUUUUUUUUCUUUGCACUUCACGCCUUGAUUUGUUUAUGUAAUGCAAUUAUAGAUGACAUUUAAUUGUUAAACAAAGGGCAGCAUCACAAUGUUUCUCUCUGAAUCCCUCACAUUUCCCUCUGCAUGUUGUUACCAGCUUGUAUGCUUUCUUACUCUCUGCAGUCUGAUGUAAUAUUCUAUGCUACAGCUCUGUUCUACCAGUCAGUGCAUCAAUACCUUGGCUCUAGACUGCUUACUGCUAAAACUGCUCCAAAGUACAGUAACAGUCUACAGUCAUGGCUACUGACGUCUGGCAAACCUCUGCUCUGUGUGAUCAAAUUCACCUUUGUGACUGUAAGAGUUAAGAUGAGUGGGAAGAUGCUGCUGCACUGUGUGAAGUUUCCUUUCGGAGCUCAGCACUACUGAAGGCUGCAUCACCAACAUCAUCAAACCACCGAGGACGUCAGUGGUUACCACAGCCAAUCAUAUUUCGCCGGCUGUCUCCAUGGUGACCGUGGCAUUAGAUUGUUACUGUAGCAACAGCACCACUGGUAACAGUCUACAGCCAUGGUCGCUAGGGGGCAAAACACACAUCUGAACCAGAGUGGUGCAAAAGAGCAAGCUGUUAAAAAAAGACACGCUACAUGUAAGAGUCAGCAAGAGAGGAAAAGUGACAAAAAAUAUAAUUUUUCUAGAACAUAUUUUACAGCACUUGAUAUGAAGUGAGUCAUUCAUGUAAUUCAUUUGAUGAUUUAAAAAAUAAGAAGAUAAGAAAACAAAAAGAUUGACUCAAAUCAUGGUGGUUAAAAAUACAUGAUGUACAAUGCAAAAUAAGUCAAACUAAUACAAACAAAAGAGCCUGGCUGCAUAUAUAUACUGUAUGUAACUGAACUCUGUGAACCUGACCAUAAUUAAGCCCACAGAAGCAGAACUCCUUACAUGUCAGGGAAAAAAAACCUCACAUAUCUGCUGCACAUUUGAGAAGGAAUAUUCUAGUAUAUCCACAUUCUGGAGGAGGGAAGACUCCUCCACAAAUAAAUGAAAGUCUUGGGUGUAGAAGGUUUAUCAGAGCAGCAGUGUCAGGCGGAGGCUACCUGUCCACUCCUGAUGGAAACUGAUACACUUGUGCCAGGAGAAGAGCUCAGAGAACAUCCUGAAAGUGUUACUCCUUAUCACUGGUUAUAGCAGUGUGUUGGCUGUAGCUCUACAGGUUAUUCCGUUUUAUUUUCUUACAAAAGCUGUAGGGGUUUGAUCCUUCCUGAACUCAUUUCCAUGUCUGUGUUAUGGUACAUGCAUAUUUGAAUCAUAUCCAUGUAAUGUAGAAUUUCCUAUCAAUAAAUUAAUUAAUUAUUAACACAUCAAA